This 217-nucleotide long non-coding RNA is filed under the name Trifolium pratense (red clover). Its description in RNAcentral is "long non-coding RNA (TPRA_LNC002243)". The record is from RNAcentral. Lineage: Eukaryota; Viridiplantae; Streptophyta; Magnoliopsida; Fabales; Fabaceae.
UAUAGUAAAAAAGAACUCAACACAAAGCCCACAUUUCAAUAGAGAAAAAAAAAGUCUACUACAAUGGCCCAAACCCAUUUACAUAACCCUAAGUAUAAAAGAUAUGAUUAAAUGCUACUACGCCGAGGAAUAUAAAUGUACGGCCGCAAAGAAAUAUACAAUUUACAGCCGCUGCUCUCUCUUCUUUUCUUCAAACUCCGCCUCUUCUUAUUCUUCC